AGGGAUGAAGGCCCUCCUGGGGUUGUUAAACUUCUUUUUAUUUGGGGGAAGGAAACCUGGUUUUUUUCUUAAAGCAGUUGACGGUACCCGAUGAAUAAGCACCGGCUAACUCCGUGC
Molecule: ribosomal RNA, 117 nt
Filed under: uncultured bacterium
Lineage: Bacteria
Description: partial 16S ribosomal RNA
Source: RNAcentral